Molecule: ribosomal RNA, 466 nt
Filed under: uncultured bacterium
Lineage: Bacteria
Description: bacterial SSU rRNA
Rfam family: Bacterial small subunit ribosomal RNA
Source: RNAcentral
AACGAACGCUGGCGGCAGGCUUAACACAUGCAAGUCGAACGCUCGUAGCAAUACGGGAGUGGCGGACGGGUGAGUAACGCGUGGGAACGUGCCCUGAGGUACGGAAUAACUGCGGGAAACUGCAGCUAAUACCGUAUGAGCCCCGUGAGGGGGAAAGAUUUAUCGCCUUAGGAGCGGCCCGCGUCGGAUUAGCUAGUUGGUGGGGUAACGGCUUACCAAGGCUUCGAUCCGUAGCUGGUCUGAGAGGACGAUCAGCCACACUGGGACUGAGACACGGCCCAGACUCCUACGGGAGGCAGCAGUGGGGAAUCUUGCGCAAUGGGGGCAACCCUGACGCAGCCAUGCCGCGUGAAUGAUGAAGGCCUUAGGGUUGUAAAGUUCUUUUGCCCGUGACGAUGAUGACGGUAACGGGAGAAUAAGCUCCGGCUAAACUUCGUGCCAGCAGCCGCGGUAAAAAUCACGUGUA